AAGCAUCCGCUGAUAGGCUGGGAACAUCUCAUUUUGCUCUCUGGCUUGCAUUAAGAUGCAACAGCAAUUUCCUCGCGCUUUCUGCCUGCCUGAUAAACAUGGCAAUUCAGAUUGAAUAGGGGAAAACAGUU
Rhineura floridana is the source of this 131-nucleotide small nucleolar RNA. RefSeq annotates it as small nucleolar RNA SNORA31. Lineage: Eukaryota; Metazoa; Chordata; Lepidosauria; Squamata; Rhineuridae. The transcript has a single exon. The record is from RefSeq and is a predicted model, not a curated record.